GGCCCCGUGGUCUAAAGGUCAGGAUAGCGGUCUUUCACGCCGUUGGUGACGGGUUCAAGUCCCGCCGGGGCUA
Molecule: transfer RNA, 73 nt
Filed under: Armatimonas rosea
Lineage: Bacteria; Bacillati; Armatimonadota; Armatimonadia; Armatimonadales; Armatimonadaceae
Rfam family: tRNA
About the family: Transfer RNA (tRNA) molecules are approximately 80 nucleotides in length. Their secondary structure includes four short double-helical elements and three loops (D, anti-codon, and T loops).
Source: Rfam by way of RNAcentral